GGUGGCGAGGAUUAGCGCUGCUGUCAACACUGAACGCUGGAUAAAGCCUCUGCUCACCCUUUCCUCAGUCUGCUCAUUAGAGCUCAUCAUUUUACCAUUUCCCUCACACACUCGUGUCUGAAGAGUGGCAGUCCUGUCUCCUGCUGUGAAGCAGAUGUUGCCCUCUGUUUUUACCCACCUCUACACCUUUUAUGGCAUGCCAAGCCCCCAGAAGCAAUAGUGCCAUGCUAAGUGAGGGGCUCAAUGGAUAUAUAAAAAUGCAGCAGAAAACAGGUUCUCAAUGUGUGAUGGCCAUGAUUAUGCAACAUUCCGAAAUUGUCAUAAAAGUACUUGGGAACUUUAUGCAGUGCUGAUGCCUGUUGACUUGCAUUUAAUGAAUCAUGAAGAACCAGUUUCAGCUGAAAAUGAUCUGUAAUGUUCUGCUAAAGAAAAAAAGUCACCUACAGUACAUCAAAGAAGGCCUAAGGCCCACUGUCGUAUUUCAUGAAGAAUGAAAAAAAGAGAAGGAAGUCGAGAGAGAGACUCACUCCGAAUGUCCUUGGGAAAGAGGAAGAUCCACUUCAUAGCAUGUUUAUUCAGUUCAUGCUGUCCUUUCACCAAUCUCUCCUCUAUUGCAACCCAUCUCCUCUCCUCUCUCUCUUUUUAGAAGAGAUCAUCUCAAAGUCAUUUUGUCUCGAGGGUUUGAACCUCUUCUGAUGUGCUGGAAUCGGAAGUAUUUUUAUUUGUUGCAUUGUUGAUGAUCCUAAUUGACUGAAUUUUUU
RNAcentral lists this long non-coding RNA (761 nucleotides) under Danio rerio (zebrafish). Its description in RNAcentral is "lncRNA si:dkey-224a6.4 (ENSDARG00000097410.2)". The record is from RNAcentral. Lineage: Eukaryota; Metazoa; Chordata; Actinopteri; Cypriniformes; Danionidae.